RNAcentral lists this unclassified non-coding RNA (331 nucleotides) under Hevea brasiliensis (rubber tree). The record is from RNAcentral. Lineage: Eukaryota; Viridiplantae; Streptophyta; Magnoliopsida; Malpighiales; Euphorbiaceae.
GGAAACAAGAGGGAAAUUGAGCAUCUUGAUAAUGAUAUACCCCAUCAUGCACUUAACGGUGGUAAUAAGAGGAUGAGGAGUGAUGGACCAUGGGAUGUGAAGUCAUCCUCUGAUUUUGAAAUUUAUAUGGAGCAAAUGGAACAUAUAAUGGGAAAAGCUAGGAUGGCGUAUGAGGCAAAGGAGCAGGCUUAUCAUGAUAUGAGCAUGAAUCAGCAAGUGUUGCUUAGUGAGCUGCAGCGGCGGGGUAAUGUGAUUCAGCAUUUACACAAGACCAGGAUAGAGGAGCAACAAAAAGGGCAUUCAGAGGUUUAUAGGCUUGAACGUGAAUUAU